Molecule: long non-coding RNA, 504 nt
Filed under: Brassica rapa (field mustard)
Lineage: Eukaryota; Viridiplantae; Streptophyta; Magnoliopsida; Brassicales; Brassicaceae
Description: long non-coding RNA (BRAP_LNC001141)
Source: RNAcentral
GUCACUCCCUUUCCGCUCAGCUCCGCUAGCUGCUUUGCUACGGCCUGGUGGUUGUGGAACAUAACAAGGUAUCAAGUUAGUUAAGCAUAUUGACAUACUAUGAGUAAACGAUGGAUGUAUUAGCUGGGUUUACCUCAGUUCCAGCUGCAAACUUUUCGAAUUCAAAAACACCCAUGGGACCAUUCCAGAUGAUGGUCUGGGUUGUGUCCAGAGCCUCGCUGAAUGUCUUGAUAGAGUCUGGCCCAACAUCGAGUCCCAUCCAGCCAUCUGGGAUUGCCGUGGCUGGCACUAUCUGCAAAUUGUUCACAAGUGUGUCAGCUCUAAACAGAACAGACACUGAAACGUUUUUAUGCUCGUUACCUUGCUGUUAGCAUCGGGAGCGAACUUAUCAGCAAUAACCACAUCGGUUGGGAGCAACAGAGAGACACCUUUGGCUUUCGCCUUCUCCAUGAGUGACUUGGCCAAGUCAAGCUUGUCCUCUUCCACAAGGGAAGAUCCAACCGA